GGGCCCGCACAAGCGGUGGAGCAUGUGGUUUAAUUCGAUGCAACGCGAAGAACCUUACCUACCCUUGGAAAUCCUCAGAAUUCUCUAGAGAUAAGAGAAGUGCCUUCGGGAACUGAGUGACAGGUGCUGCAUGGCUGUCGUCAGCUCGUGUCGUGAGAUGUUGGGUUAAGUCCCGUAACGAGCGCAACCCCUACUCUUAAUUGCCAGCGGUUCGGCCGGGAACUUUAAGAGAACUGCCGGUGAUAAACCGGAGGAAGGUGGGGAUGAUGUCAAGUCAUCAUGGCCCUUACGGUAGGCUACACACGUGCUACAAUGGACAGUACAGAGGGCUGCAAACCCGCGAGGGGAGCG
Molecule: ribosomal RNA, 351 nt
Filed under: uncultured bacterium
Lineage: Bacteria
Description: bacterial SSU rRNA
Rfam family: Bacterial small subunit ribosomal RNA
Source: RNAcentral